This 531-nucleotide long non-coding RNA is filed under the name Mytilus galloprovincialis (Mediterranean mussel). Lineage: Eukaryota; Metazoa; Mollusca; Bivalvia; Mytilida; Mytilidae. The record is from RNAcentral.
UUAUAUUUAUAAUAAUUAUUGUGAUAUUGUUAUUUCAGAGUUUAUUUCUUUCUACUGGUAUAAUAAAAUCAUCCGAACCCUCAAUCCGAACCCUAAACAGAGAUGGUUAUUUACUUUGACCCAAGAAUCGACCCUGUUACACAUAGAUUUGGAUUUACGUUUAGUGUUUUUAUCAUCACCAAACAUUAUUGAAAUUCUCGCUUUAUUUUUAUCUGCGUGUAUUGUAAAUGUUAUGUUACUAAACAAACUACAUGCAUUGUCUAUUAAUUUUACCAAAUAAACAGGUAAUUUAUCCAUAUGACUGGUUCGGGUUAAUAUCUAGGUCGUCAGCACAUAUCUUUAAAAAGUGUCUUAUCUUUCAGUAAUCAAACUUUGUGAUACUUUCGAUUCAUUGUUAUUCGUUAGAAACAAUUUUUGUUGGUACAGGUAAACCACGAAUUCAAAUGUUUAACGCUUUACAAAUUGUCUAUAAGGCUUAUAAAUAUGCUGAGAUUGUCAAAACCAAACAUUGACUAUAAAGGGCAAUAACUC